This 66-nucleotide transfer RNA is filed under the name Dipodomys ordii (Ord's kangaroo rat). It matches the Rfam family "tRNA". From Rfam's summary of the family: Transfer RNA (tRNA) molecules are approximately 80 nucleotides in length. Their secondary structure includes four short double-helical elements and three loops (D, anti-codon, and T loops). The record is from Rfam by way of RNAcentral. Lineage: Eukaryota; Metazoa; Chordata; Mammalia; Rodentia; Heteromyidae.
GGUAAAAUGGCCAUGUACGUAUUAGAUUGUAAAUCUAACAACAGAGGCUAAGUCCUCUUUUUACCA